ACGAUGCUCUACGAUUGAUGGCUCAGUGAGGCCUUCGGACUGGCUCGAGGAGGUUGGCAACGACCACCUCAAGCCGGAAAGUUCGUCAAACUCGGUCAUUUAGAGGAAGUAAAAGUCGUAACAAGGUCUCCGUAGGUGAACCUGCGGAGGGAUCAUUACACAAUAUGAAAGCGGGCUGGAAUCCUUUGGGGUUACAGCCUUGCUGAAUUAUUCACCCGUGUCUUUUGCGUACUUCUUGUUUCCUUGGUGGGUUCGCCCACCAUAGGACAAACCAUUAAACCUUUUGUAAUUGCAAUCAGCGUCAGUAAAAAAAAUUAAUAAUUACAACUUUUAACAACGGAUCUCUUGGUUCUGGCAUCGAUGAAGAACGCAGCGAAAUGCGAUAAGUAGUGUGAAUUGCAGAAUUCAGUGAAUCAUCGAAUCUUUGAACGCACAUUGCGCCCUUUGGUAUUCCAAAGGGCAUGCCUGUUCGAGCGUCAUUUGUACCCUCAAGCUUUGCUUGGUGUUGGGCGUCUUGUCUCCAGUUCGCUGGAGACUCGCCUUAAAGUAAUUGGCAGCCGGCCUACUGGUUUCGGAGCGCAGCACAAGUCGCGCUCUCUUCCAGCGAAGGUCAGCAUCCACAAAGCCUUUUUUCAACUUUUGACCUCGGAUCAGGUAGGGAUACCCGCUGAACUUAAGCAUAUCAAUAAGCGGAGGAAAAGAAACCAACAGGGAUUGCCCUAGUAACGGCGAGUGAAGCGGCAACAGCUCAAAUUUGAAAUCUGGCUCUUUUAGAGUCCGAGUUGUAAUUUGCAGAGGGCGCUUUGGCUUUGGCAGCGGUCCAGUUCCUUGGAACAGGACGUCACAGAGGUGAGAAUCCCGUACGUGGUCGCUGGCUAUUGCCGUGUAAGCCCUUCGACGAGUCAGUGUUUUGGUGGAGGUGACGCA
This 927-nucleotide ribosomal RNA is filed under the name Alternaria brassicae. Its description in RNAcentral is "eukaryotic LSU rRNA". The stretch from base 641 to 927 matches the Rfam family "Eukaryotic large subunit ribosomal RNA", at positions 1 to 288 of the family's 3401-position model. The record is from RNAcentral. Lineage: Eukaryota; Fungi; Ascomycota; Dothideomycetes; Pleosporales; Pleosporaceae.